Long non-coding RNA from Lytechinus variegatus (green sea urchin), 347 nucleotides. RefSeq lists it as uncharacterized. The record is from RefSeq and is a predicted model, not a curated record. The transcript is spliced from 3 exons. Lineage: Eukaryota; Metazoa; Echinodermata; Echinoidea; Temnopleuroida; Toxopneustidae.
GUACAUACGCCAUCUUGUCUCACAGCAUAGAUAAUUAUAGUUUAACACAUCGGUCUCUGAAGUUUACACAAAGUUUUAAGAUAACAUCAAAACGAUCAUUUCUUUUCAAGAGAUCAUCAUAGAAGGUGACGUCAUAAUACAUCAGAGAGGAUCUAUAAAAACAAGUCUGGAUUACACCUUCAAGUUGUGCUGAAUCGGGAACUACGCCAUCUACGGCGAAUGUCUGAGGAACCUAACAGCCUAAAGAGAGAGUUUACCCAAUCAGUCUGGAUUACACCUUCAACGUUGUGCUGAAUCGGGAACUACGCCAUCUACGGCGAAUGUCUGAUAGACAUAACAGCUUAAAG